GAUCAUGGCUCAGGAUGAACGCUAGCUACAAGCUUAACACAUGCAAGUCGAGGGGCAUCAGGAAGAAAGCUUGCUUUCUUUGCUGGCGACCGGCGCACGGGUGAGUAACACGUAUCCAACCUACCCUUUACUCGGGGAUAGCCUUUCGAAAGAAAGAUUAAUACCCGAUGGCAUAAUGAUUCCGCAUGGUUUCAUUAUUAAAGGAUUCCGGUAAAGGAUGGGGACGCGUUCCAUUAGGUUGUUGGUGAGGUAACGG
Molecule: ribosomal RNA, 256 nt
Filed under: uncultured bacterium
Lineage: Bacteria
Description: partial 16S ribosomal RNA
Rfam family: Bacterial small subunit ribosomal RNA
Source: RNAcentral